This is a long non-coding RNA of Salvelinus namaycush (lake trout), 523 nucleotides long. RefSeq lists it as uncharacterized. Lineage: Eukaryota; Metazoa; Chordata; Actinopteri; Salmoniformes; Salmonidae. The record is from RefSeq and is a predicted model, not a curated record. The transcript has 3 exons.
UACUGGGACCUACUGGUGUGGAGUAGAAACCAGCAGGACAGAACAACGUUACAUUACACUGAUCACACAGGUGAAGCUGCUUGUUAGAAAUUGGAGGGAUGUCAAACCAAUCAAUGUGAAUGAGCAGGUUGGGGAGACUGCCAGGCUUACUUGUAAAUAUCCAGCAGGCCACAAGAAGAAUGAGAAGUUCUUCUGUAAGGGGGACAGUCCUUUAACCUGUGAAAAUAAAGUUACAGCUACACAACCUAACAUCAUUAAAUGGAAUGAGAGGUUUUCUCUGAGGGACAACCGUGAGAAGACCAACUUCACUGUUCACAUCAAGAAGAUGAGACCAGAGGAUUCUGGGACAUAUUGGUGUGGAUCUGAUAGAAGAUGGAGACCUGCAGACUACACUAGAUUUAUAUUUUCUGUGGUGGCACCAACCACCAUCAUCACAAAAUCAACAACUGCAGCACUUCCAGCCACAACCACCUUCAUCUCACAAUCAUCAUCAUCACCAUCACCAUCACCAUCACCAUCACCA